This 30-nucleotide non-coding RNA is filed under the name Mus musculus (house mouse). Lineage: Eukaryota; Metazoa; Chordata; Mammalia; Rodentia; Muridae. The record is from RNAcentral.
UGAAUGCAUAUUUCCAUUUAAAUGUUCCUG